UCUGGAAACUNUCUGACUUGAGUGCAGAAGGGGAGAGUGGAAUUCCAUGUGUAGCGGUGAAAUGCGUAGAUAUAUGGAGGAACACCAGUGGCGAAAGCGGCUCUCUGGUCUGUCACUGACGCUGAGGCUCGAAAGCGUGGGUAGCGAACAGGAUUAGAUACCCUGGUAGUNCACGCCGUAAACGAUGAGUGCUAGGUGUUAGGCCCUUUCCGGGGCUUAGUGCCGGAGCUAACGCAAUAAGCACUCCGCCUGGGGAGUACGACCGCAAGGUUGAAACUCAAAGGAAUUGACGGGGGCCCGCACAAGCGGUGGAGCAUGUGGUUUAAUUCGAAGCAACGCGAAGAACCUUACCAGGUCUUGACAUCCCGAUGCUAUUCUUAGAGAUAGGAAGUUACUUCGGUACAUCGGAGACAGGUGGUGCAUGGUUGUCGUCAGCUCGUGUCGUGAGAUGUUGGGUUAAGUCCCGCAACGAGCGCAACCCUUAUUGUUAGUUGCCAUCAUUAAGUUGGGCACUCUAGCGAGACUGCCGGUAAUAAACCGGAGGAAGGUGGGGAUGACGUCAAAUCAUCAUGCCCCUUAUGACCUGGGCUACACACGUGUUACAAUGGUCGGUACAACGAGUUGCGAGCCGGUGACGGCAAGCUAAUCUCUGAAAGCCGAUCUCAGUUCGGGUUGGAGGCUGCAACUCGCCUCCAUGAAGUCGGAAUCGCUAGUAAUCGCGGAUCAGCACGCCGCGGUGAAUACGUUCCCGGGCCUUGUACACACCGCCCGUCACACCACGAGAGUUUGUAACACCCGAAGUCGGUGAGGUANCCUUUUAGGG
RNAcentral lists this ribosomal RNA (823 nucleotides) under uncultured bacterium. RNAcentral's name for it is "bacterial SSU rRNA". It matches the Rfam family "Bacterial small subunit ribosomal RNA", at positions 625 to 1447 of the family's 1533-position model. The record is from RNAcentral.